Molecule: ribosomal RNA, 1075 nt
Filed under: Acinetobacter johnsonii
Lineage: Bacteria; Pseudomonadati; Pseudomonadota; Gammaproteobacteria; Moraxellales; Moraxellaceae
Description: bacterial SSU rRNA
Rfam family: Bacterial small subunit ribosomal RNA
Source: RNAcentral
UGCAAGUCGAGCGGGGAAAUGUUAGCUUUCGCGUACCUAGACCUAGCGGCGGACGGGUGAGUAAUGGCUUAGGAAUCUGCCUAUUAGUGGGGGACAACGUUCCGAAAGGAACGCUAAUACCGCAUACGCCCUACGGGGGAAAGCAGGGGAUCUUCGGACCUUGCGCUAAUAGAUGAGCCUAAGUCGGAUUAGCUAGUUGGUGGGGUAAAGGCCUACCAAGGCGACGAUCUGUAGCGGGUCUGAGAGGAUGAUCCGCCACACUGGGACUGAGACACGGCCCAGACUCCUACGGGAGGCAGCAGUGGGGAAUAUUGGACAAUGGGCGGAAGCCUGAUCCAGCCAUGCCGCGUGUGUGAAGAAGGCCUUUUGGUUGUAAAGCACUUUAAGCGAGGAGGAGGCUCCUUUAGUUAAUACCUAAAGUGAGUGGACGUUACUCGCAGAAUAAGCACCGGCUAACUCUGUGCCAGCAGCCGCGGUAAUACAGAGGGUGCGAGCGUUAAUCGGAUUUACUGGGCGUAAAGCGUGCGUAGGCGGCUUUUUAAGUCGGAUGUGAAAUCCCUGAGCUUAACUUAGGAAUUGCAUUCGAUACUGGAAAGCUAGAGUAUGGGAGAGGAUGGUAGAAUUCCAGGUGUAGCGGUGAAAUGCGUAGAGAUCUGGAGGAAUACCGAUGGCGAAGGCAGCCAUCUGGCCUAAUACUGACGCUGAGGUACGAAAGCAUGGGGAGCAAACAGGAUUAGAUACCCUGGUAGUCCAUGCCGUAAACAAUGUCUACUAGCCGUUGGGGCCUUUGAGGCUUUAGUGGCGCAGCUAACGCGAUAAGUAGACCGCCUGGGGAGUACGGUCGCAAGACUAAAACUCAAAUGAAUUGACGGGGGCCCGCACAACCGGUGGAGCAGGUGGUUUAGUUCUAUGCAACGCGAAAAACCUUAACUCGCCCUUGAAUUACUAAGAACUUUCCAAAUAUGGAAUGGUGCCUUCGGGAACUUAAAAUACAAGAGCCUCCAUGGGCUGGCGUCAACUCAUAGCCCUCCCCUGUUUGGGUAAAGUUCGGCUACCAACCCCCAACCCUUUUUCC